This 253-nucleotide ribosomal RNA is filed under the name uncultured bacterium. RNAcentral's name for it is "partial 16S ribosomal RNA". It matches the Rfam family "Bacterial small subunit ribosomal RNA", at positions 524 to 776 of the family's 1533-position model. The record is from RNAcentral.
UACGUAGGGUGCGAGCGUUGUCCGGAAUUAUUGGGCGUAAAGAGCUCGUAGGCGGCUUGUCGCGUCGGAUGUGAAAGCCCGGGGCUUAACUCCGGGUCUGCAUUCGAUACGGGCAGGCUAGAGUUCGGGAGAGGGAUGCGGAAUUCCAGGUGUAGCGGUGAAAUGCGUAGAUAUCUGGAGGAACACCGGUGGCGAAGGCGGCAUCCUGGACCGAUACUGACGCUGAGGUGCGAAAGCCAGGGGAGCAAACGGG